RNAcentral lists this ribosomal RNA (387 nucleotides) under uncultured Leptolinea sp. RNAcentral describes it as "bacterial SSU rRNA". It matches the Rfam family "Bacterial small subunit ribosomal RNA", at positions 984 to 1382 of the family's 1533-position model. The record is from RNAcentral. Lineage: Bacteria; Bacillati; Chloroflexota; Anaerolineae; Anaerolineales; Anaerolineaceae.
ACAUGCAAGUCGGUAGGAAACCGAAAGGUGACCGACCCUUCGGGGAGCUUGCACAGGUGCUGCAUGGCUGUCGUCAGCUCGGUGUCGUGAGAUGUUCGGUUAAGUCCGCUAACGAGCGCAACCCUCGCUGUGUGUUAUAUGUGUCACACGGGACUGCCGGUCUUAAGCCGGAGGAAGGUGGGGAUGAUGUCAAGUCAGCAUGGCCUUUAUAUCCUGGGCUACACACACGCUACAAUGGCCAACACAAUAGGUUGCUAAGCCGCGAGGUGGCGCCAAUCCAUAAAGUUGGUCUCAGUUCAGAUUGUAGGCUGCAACCCGCCUGCAUGAAGAUGGAGUUGCUAGUAACCGCAGGUCAGCUAUACUGCGGUGAAUACGUUCCCGGGGCUU